AUCACAUUUCAAAUCAAGUGUGGUAUCUGUUCUCAUCAGCUUAAUAUCUGAUACGUCCCCCAUCGGGGGACAACAUAUUAAAUGCUCCCGAGUGGUGCAGCGGUCUAAGGCACUGCAU
This 118-nucleotide small nuclear RNA is filed under the name Salmo salar (Atlantic salmon). Its description in RNAcentral is "U2 spliceosomal RNA (ENSSSAG00000047476.2, ENSSSAG00020065257.1, ENSSSAG00075020636.1)". It matches the Rfam family "U2 spliceosomal RNA". Rfam says of the family: U2 is a small nuclear RNA (snRNA) component of the spliceosome (involved in pre-mRNA splicing). Complementary binding between U2 snRNA (in an area lying towards the 5' end but 3' to hairpin I) and the branchpoint sequence (BPS) of the intron results the bulging out of an unpaired adenosine, on the BPS, which initiates a nucleophilic attack at the intronic 5' splice site, thus starting the first of two transesterification reactions that mediate splicing. The record is from Rfam by way of RNAcentral. Lineage: Eukaryota; Metazoa; Chordata; Actinopteri; Salmoniformes; Salmonidae.